RNAcentral lists this long non-coding RNA (1318 nucleotides) under Cricetulus griseus (Chinese hamster). RNAcentral describes it as "lncRNA (ENSCGRG00015037938.1)". The record is from RNAcentral. Lineage: Eukaryota; Metazoa; Chordata; Mammalia; Rodentia; Cricetidae.
AUGGCUUACAGGCUGGUAUCCAGAUAGUUGAACAAUGCCUGUCUAACAACAAUGUCCAAUAAUCCAAUAGUUGUUCAGUCUGUGAGGCUGGAUAUCUUAGCUGGUCUUCAGUAUGUGCCAGAAUCCCAAAGAAGUAGGCUCUAGUGGAAUGGAUUUGCUAGUGAGAGUGAGAGCAAGCAGGCAGAGAACAAGCUUCCUUCUUCCAUGUCCUUAUAUAGGCUGCCACCAGAAGGUGUGGCCCAGAUUAAAGGUGCAUCUCCCCACCUCAAAAGAUCGGGAUUAAAAGUGGGUCUUCCCACUCCAAAUGAUUUAAUUAAGGGGAAAAAACAAAAACAAAAACAAAACUCCCUCACAGGUGUGCCCAGCUGUUUGGGUUUUAGUUAAUUCAGAGUAUAGUCAAGUUGACACCAUGAACAGCCACCAACUACCAGGGUUUCUCAUGGGUGAGCCAGGUGUGUCUGAAUCUGCUCCUAUUAAAAUGCAGAUUCCUGGCCUGUGCUCCACACUACUUCUCCGUGAUCUCAUUAAGUAGUACAGGCUGGUCUCAAACUUAAAAUCCUCCUGCCUCCGCCUCCUGAGUGCAUACUACAUAGCUCCUUGGGUCCUCCUGAAGCUUGGCAGUGUGAGAGCUGGGCCUGUAGGGAUGGUUAUCCCAAGCAAGCUUUUCUGAAGAACAUGGGGCCUUCUGUUUGGAGGAUCCGAGCUCGCCAGCCUUGUAUCUCUGACUGAAAACUCUCCCACAAACUUUGCCAGGAUCCCAGGGCUCAUUGCUAGAAAGGGGCGUGGCCUUUGGGACUAGUCACUGUGAGUCAUUUAACCAUGGGAACCACCAAGGGAGAGAGGAAGCAGCCAGCUCCCCCCAGAAGCCUCCAUGGUGCAGGAUUAACUUGGAGCCCAGUCCCCAGGUGGCUUCCCACACCUUUCUUGGGCUGAACAUGAGGCAAACGACCUUGUCCAAGUUCUACUGGGAAGUGGGACACUCAGCACAUCGGUCUUCAUCCCCACCAUGGACAACCUGGCCUCCUGUCCACAGAAGGCAUCUGUGGACGGAUGACAGUGUUGUGCACUUGAGCUCUUCAUAGAAAAGCCUUGCUUCUUGCUUCAAGUAUGCCCUUUUCUCAGCCAAUGUCCACGGACUUGUAAUGAGAACCUUCUCAGCUUUUGCUGAUCUGGAGACAGGCCUCUUCGAUAGACAGGGUGGUCCCAGCCCUGCUUCACAAUCUCCUUUAGAGAGGAGAACUCCUGAGUAUCACCCAGACUGUUCAGGAGGAUGGUUCCAUCCUUUGUUCAUCCUUCAGCUUGAACCACUAGGUUCUAG